This 468-nucleotide ribosomal RNA is filed under the name uncultured bacterium. RNAcentral describes it as "partial 16S ribosomal RNA". It matches the Rfam family "Bacterial small subunit ribosomal RNA", at positions 28 to 507 of the family's 1533-position model. The record is from RNAcentral.
GACGAACGCUGGCGGCGUGCUUAACACAUGCAAGUCGAACGGAAAGGCCCUGCUUUUGUGGGGUGAUCGAGUGGCGAACGGGUGAGUAACACGUGAGUAACCUGCCCUUGACUUUGGGAUAACUUCAGGAAACUGGGGCUAAUACCGGAUAGGAGCUCCUGCUGCAUGGUGGGGGUUGGAAAGUUUCGGCGGUUGGGGAUGGACUCGCGGCUUAUCAGCUUGUUGGUGGGGUAGUGGCUUGCCAAGGCUUUGACGGGUAGCCGGCCUGAGAGGGUGACCGGCCACAUUGGGACUGAGAUACGGCCCAGACGCCUACGGGAGGCAGCAGUGGGGAAGAUUGCACAAUGGGCGGAAGCCUGAUGCAGCAACGCCGCGUGCGGGAUGACGGCCUUCGGGUUGUAAACCGCUUUCGCCUGUGACGAAGCGUGAGUGACGGUAAUGGGUAAAGAAGCACCGGCUAACUACGUG